UACGUAGGGUGCGAGCGUUGUCCGGAAUUAUUGGGCGUAAAGAGCUUGUAGGUGGUUUGUCGCGUCUGCUGUGAAAAUCCGAGGCUCAACCUCGGACUUGCAGUGGGUACGGGCAGACUAGAGUGUGGUAGGGGAGACUGGAAUUCCUGGUGUAGCGGUGGAAUGCGCAGAUAUCAGGAGGAACACCGAUGGCGAAAGGCAGAUCUCCUGGGCCGUAAACUG
Molecule: ribosomal RNA, 222 nt
Filed under: uncultured bacterium
Lineage: Bacteria
Description: partial 16S ribosomal RNA
Rfam family: Bacterial small subunit ribosomal RNA
Source: RNAcentral